This 301-nucleotide ribosomal RNA is filed under the name uncultured bacterium. RNAcentral describes it as "partial 16S ribosomal RNA". It matches the Rfam family "Bacterial small subunit ribosomal RNA", at positions 509 to 807 of the family's 1533-position model. The record is from RNAcentral.
CAGUAGCCGCGAUAAUACAGAGGGUGCGAGCGUUAAUCGGAUUUACUGGGCGUAAAGCGUGCGUAGGCGGCUUUUUAAGUCGGAUGUGAAAUCCCUGAGCUUAACUUAGGAAUUGCAUUCGAUACUGGGAAGCUAGAGUAUGGGAGAGGAUGGUAGAAUUCCAGGUGUAGCGGUGAAAUGCGUAGAGAUCUGGAGGAAUACCGAUGGCGAAGGCAGCCAUCUGGCCUAAUACUGACGCUGAGGUACGAAAGCAUGGGGAGCAAACAGGAUUAGAGACCCCGGUAGUCCCUGUCUCUUAUAC